Molecule: ribosomal RNA, 677 nt
Filed under: Piloderma sphaerosporum
Lineage: Eukaryota; Fungi; Basidiomycota; Agaricomycetes; Atheliales; Atheliaceae
Also listed under: 1 other name
Description: partial contains small subunit ribosomal RNA, internal transcribed spacer 1, 5.8S ribosomal RNA, internal transcribed spacer 2, and large subunit ribosomal RNA
Rfam family: 5.8S ribosomal RNA (bases 264-418)
Source: RNAcentral
CUUGGUCAUUUAGAGGAAGUAAAAGUCGUAACAAGGUUUCCGUAGGUGAACCUGCGGAAGGAUCAUUAUCGAAAUUAUUGGUGAGGGUUGUAGCUGGCCUUUCGAGGCAUGUGCACGCUCGAGCCCUUAAUCCACUUUACACCUGUGCACUUAAUGUAGGUCGCCCUUAAAAAAGGUGACCUAUGUCUUAUCAUCAACCCAUCGUAUGUCUCAUAGAAUGUAAUCGAUAUCCUCGCCCUAAAAAAGCGUUGAUAAACUUAUACAACUUUCAACAACGGAUCUCUUGGCUCUCGCAUCGAUGAAGAACGCAGCGAAAUGCGAUAAGUAAUGUGAAUUGCAGAUUUUCAGUGAAUCAUCGAAUCUUUGAACGCACCUUGCGCUCCUUGGUAUUCCGAGGAGCAUGCCUGUUUGAGUGUCAUUAAAUUCUCAACUCCAAGGGUUUCACGACCUUUCGGAGAUUGGACUUGGAGGUGCUGGCCGCAUAUUGGUCGGCUCCUCUCAAAUGCAUCAGCGGAAUUCAACCUUUGGCUUCCGGAUGUCAGUGUGAUAAUCAUGUUGCGCUGUCGUUUGAUCCCUCAGAGUCCGCUUAUAAUGGUCUUCGGACAAAAUCAUCAUCAAAUUUGACCUCAAAUCAGGUAGGACUACCCGCUGAACUUAAGCAUAUCAAUAAGCGGAGG